Oncorhynchus keta (chum salmon) is the source of this 2557-nucleotide long non-coding RNA. RefSeq lists it as uncharacterized. Lineage: Eukaryota; Metazoa; Chordata; Actinopteri; Salmoniformes; Salmonidae. The transcript is spliced from 5 exons. The record is from RefSeq and is a predicted model, not a curated record.
UGCGUGUGUGUGUGUGUGUGUGUCAGGGUCAUCUCCAUGGUCAGAAGAUGCGUGAAGCCAAUCACCGAGCGGCGGCCCAGAUCUUUGAGCGGGUCAACUCCUCCCUGCUGCCUCAGAAUGUGCUAGACUUCCACGGACUGCAUGUCGACGAGGCCUUACUGCACCUGUCUGAGGUGUUAGAGAGGAAGACCACAGGUACACCUAGCUAGACCUCCAGGGACUGCAUGUCGACGAGGCCUUACUGCACCUGUCUGAGGUGUUAGAGAGGAAGACCACAGGUACACCUAGCUAGACCUCCAGGGACUGCAUGUCGACGAGGCCUUACUGCACCUGUCUGAGGUGUUAGAGAGGAAGACCACAGGUACACCUAGCUAGACCUCCAGGGACUGCAUGUCGACGAGGCCUUACUGCACCUGUCUGAGGUGUUAGAGAGGAAGACCACAGGUACACCUAGCUAGACCUCCAGGGACUGCAUGUCGACGAGGCCUUACUGCACCUGUCUGAGGUGUUAGAGAGGAAGACCACAGGUACACCUAGCUAGACCUCCAGGGACUGCAUGUCGACGAGGCCUUACUGCACCUGUCUGAGGUGUUAGAGAGGAAGACCACAGGUACACCUAGCUAGACCUCCAGGGACUGCAUGUCGACGAGGCCUUACUGCACCUGUCUGAGGUGUUAGAGAGGAAGACCACAGGUACACCUAGCUAGACCUCCAGGCUGUGUGAUGAAGAGGAAGACCACAGGUACACCUAGGUAGACCUCCUGGCUGUGUGAUGAAGAGGUGUUAGAGAGGAAGACCACAGGUACACCUCCAGGCUGAGUGAUGAAGAGGUGUUAGAGAGGAAGACCACAGGUACACCUAGCUAGACCUCCAGGCUGUGUGAUGAAGAGGUGUUAGAGAGGAAGACCACAGGUACACCUAGCUAGACCUCCAGGCUGUGUGAUGAAGAGGUGUUAGAGAGGAAGACCACAGGUACACCUAGCUAGACCUCCAGGCUGUGUGAUGAAGAGGUGUUAGAGAGGAAGACCACAGGUACACCUAGCUAGACCUCCAGGCUGUGUGAUGAAGAGGUGUUAGAGAGGAAGACCACAGGUACACCUAGCUAGACCUCCAGGCUGCGUGAUGAAGAGGUGUUAGAGAGGAAGACCACAGGUACACCUAGCUAGACCUCCAGGCUGCGUGAUGAUGAGGAGUUAGAGAGGAAGACCACAGGUACACCUAGCUAGACCUCCAGGCUGCGUGAUGAUGAGGAGUUAGAGAGGAAGACCACAGGUACACCUAGCUAGACCUCCAGGCUGCGUGAUGAAGAGGAGUUAGAGAGGAAGACCACAGGUACACCUAGCUAGACCUCCAGGCUGCGUGAUGAAGAGGAGUUAGAGAGGAAGACCACAGGUACACCUAGCUAGACCUCCAGGCUGCGUGAUGAUGAGGAGUUAGAGAGGAAGACCACAGGUACACCUAGCUAGACCUCCAGGCUGCGUGAUGAAGAGGAGUUAGAGAGGAAGACCACAGGUACACCUAGCUAGACCUCCAGGCUGCGUGAUGAAGAGGAGUUAGAGAGGAAGACCACAGGUACACCUAGCUAGACCUCCAGGCUGCGUGAUGAAGAGGUGUUAGAGAGGAAGACCACAGGUACACCUAGCUAGACCUCCAGGCUGUGUGAUGAAGAGGUGUUAGAGAGGAAGACCACAGGUACACCUAGCUAGACCUCCAGGCUGCGUGAUGAUGAGGAGUUAGAGAGGAAGACCACAGGUACACCUAGCUAGACCUCCAGGCUGCGUGAUGAAGAGGAGUUAGAGAGGAAGACCACAGGUACACCUAGCUAGACCUCCAGGCUGUGUGAUGAAGAGGUGUUAGAGAGGAAGACCACAGGUACACCUAGCUAGACCUCCAGGCUGCGUGAUGAAGAGGAGUUAGAGAGGAAGACCACAGGUACACCUAGCUAGACCUCCAGGCUGAGUGAUGAAGAGGAGUUAGAGAGGAAGACCACAGGUACACCUAGCUAGACCUCCAGGCUGUGUGAUGAAGAGGAGUUAGAGAGGAAGACCACAGGUACACCUAGCUAGACCUCCAGGCUGUGUGAUGAAGAGGAGUUAGAGAGGAAGACCACAGGUACACCUAGCUAGACCUCCAGGCUGCGUGAUGAAGAGGAGUUAGAGAGGAAGACCACAGGUACACCUAGCUAGACCUCCAGGCUGUGUGAUGAAGAGGAGUUAGAGAGGAAGACCACAGGUACACCUAGCUAGACCUCCAGGCUGCGUGAUGAAGAGGAGUUAGAGAGGAAGACCACAGGUACACCUAGCUAGACCUCCAGGCUGCGUGAUGAAGAGGAGUUAGAGAGGAAGACCACAGGUACACCUAGCUAGACCUCCAGGCUGCGUGAUGAAGAGGAGUUAGAGAGGAAGACCACAGGUACACCUAGCUAGACCUCCAGGCUGCGUGAUGAAGAGGAGUUAGAGAGGAAGACCACAGGUACACCUAGCUAGACCUCCAGGCUGCGUGAUGAAGAGGAGUUAGAGAGGAAGACCACAGGUACACCUAGCUAGACCUCCAGGCU